Podarcis lilfordi (Lilford's wall lizard) is the source of this 82-nucleotide non-coding RNA. NCBI's taxonomy places the organism in Eukaryota, Metazoa, Chordata, Lepidosauria, Squamata, Lacertidae. The record is from the annotation of a GenBank genome assembly.
UUUAAUAUAAUCAUCAGUUGGUAGAGCAUGAGACUCUUAACCUCAGGGUUGGUUGUGGGUUCGAGUCCCAUGCUGGGCAAAA